RNAcentral lists this ribosomal RNA (492 nucleotides) under uncultured bacterium. Its description in RNAcentral is "partial 16S ribosomal RNA". It matches the Rfam family "Bacterial small subunit ribosomal RNA", at positions 29 to 507 of the family's 1533-position model. The record is from RNAcentral.
AGUGAACGCUGGCGGUAGGCCUAACACAUGCAAGUCGAACGGCAGCACAGUAAGCGCUUGCUCUUACGGGUGGCGAGUGGCGUACGGGUGAGGAAUACAUCCGAAUCUACUUUUUCGUGGGGGAUAACGUAGGGAAACUUACGCUAAUACCGCAUACGACCUACGGGUGAAAGCAGGGAAUCUUCUGACCUUGCGCGAUUGAAUGCGCCGAUGUCGGAUUAGCUAGUUGGCGGGGUAAAGGCCCACCAAGGCGACGAUCCGUAGCUGGUCUGAGAGGAUGAACAGCAAAGCGGGAACUGAGACGCGGUCCAGAAUCCUGAGAGAGGCAGCAGUGGGGAAUAUUGGAAAACGAGCGCAAGCCUGAGCCAGCCAGACCGCGUGGUUGAGGAAGGCCUUCGGGUUGUAGAGCCAUUUUGUUGGGGAAGAAAAGCAGCAGGUUAAUACCGCGCUGUUCUGACGGUACCCGAAUAAUAAGCACCGGCUAACUUCGUG